This 497-nucleotide ribosomal RNA is filed under the name uncultured bacterium. RNAcentral's name for it is "partial 16S ribosomal RNA". It matches the Rfam family "Bacterial small subunit ribosomal RNA", at positions 28 to 507 of the family's 1533-position model. The record is from RNAcentral.
GAUGAACGCUGGCGGCGUGCCUAAUACAUGCAAGUCGAGCGAACAGACGAGGAGCUUGCUCCUCUGACGUUAGCGGCGGACGGGUGAGUAACACGUGGAUAACCUACCUAUAAGACUGGGAUAACUUCGGGAAACCGGAGCUAAUACCGGAUAAUAUAUUGAACCGCAUGGUUCAAUAGUGAAAGACGGUUUUGCUGUCACUUAUAGAUGGAUCCGCGCCGCAUUAGCUAGUUGGUAAGGUAACGGCUUACCAAGGCAACGAUGCGUAGCCGACCUGAGAGGGUGGUCGGCCAAACUGGAACUGAGACACGGUCCAGACUCCUACGGGAGGCAGCAGUAGGGAAUCUUCCGCAAUGGGCGAAAGCCUGACGGAGCAACGCCGCGUGAGUGAUGAAGGUCUUCGGAUCGUAAAACUCUGUUAUUAGGGAAGAACAAAUGUGUAAGUAACUAUGCACGUCUUGACGGUACCUAAUCAGAAAGCCACGGCUAACUACGUG